RNAcentral lists this ribosomal RNA (262 nucleotides) under uncultured prokaryote. RNAcentral describes it as "partial 16S ribosomal RNA". It matches the Rfam family "Bacterial small subunit ribosomal RNA", at positions 524 to 784 of the family's 1533-position model. The record is from RNAcentral.
UACGUAGGGUGCGAGCGUUGUCCGGAAUUACUGGGCGUAAAGAGCUCGUAGGUGGUUUGUCGCGUCGUCUGUGAAAUUCCGGGGCUUAACCUCGGGCGUGCAGGCGAUACGGGCAAUACUUGAGUGCUGUAGGGGAGACUGGAAUUCCUGGUGUAGCGGUGAAAUGCGCAGAUAUCAGGAGGAACACCAAUGGCGAAGGCGGGUCUCUGGGCAGUUACUGACGCUGAGGAGCGAAAGCAUGGGUAGCGAACAGGAUUAGAUA